GAUGAAGAACGUAGCGAAAUGCGAUACGUAAUGUGAAUUGCAGAAUUCAGUGAAUCAUCGAAUCUUUGAACGCAUAUUGCGCUCUCUGGUAUUCCGGAGAGCAUGCUUGUUUGAGUAUCAGUAAACACCUCAACUUCCAUAUCUUUUUUGAAAUGGGAGUUGGACUUGAGUGAUCCCAACGCUUUUCCUCACCGAAAAGUGGCGGGUUACUUGAAAUGCAGGUGCAGCUGGACUUUUCUUUGAGCUAUAAGCAUAUCUAUUUAGUCUGCCUAAAAAACAGAUUAUUACCUUUGCUGCAGCUAACAUAAAGGAGAUUAGUUCUUGUGCUGACUGAUGCAGGAUUCACAAAGACAGGCUUCGGCCGACUUUGUAAACUCGAUCUCAAAUCAAGUAAGACUACCCGCUGAACUUAAGCAUAUCAAUAACGGAGGA
This 432-nucleotide unclassified non-coding RNA is filed under the name soil metagenome. Its description in RNAcentral is "partial contains 5.8S ribosomal RNA, internal transcribed spacer 2, and large subunit ribosomal RNA". The stretch from base 1 to 120 matches the Rfam family "5.8S ribosomal RNA", at positions 35 to 154 of the family's 154-position model. The record is from RNAcentral.